GCGCCCAUAGCUCAGUUGGAUAGAGCAGCAGCCUUCUAAGCUGCGGGCCGCAGGUUCGAAUCCUGCUGGGCGCG
RNAcentral lists this transfer RNA (74 nucleotides) under Ignavibacteria bacterium. RNAcentral describes it as "tRNA-Arg". It matches the Rfam family "tRNA". Rfam says of the family: Transfer RNA (tRNA) molecules are approximately 80 nucleotides in length. Lineage: Bacteria; Pseudomonadati; Ignavibacteriota; Ignavibacteria. The record is from RNAcentral. RNAcentral also lists the same sequence under 3 other names.